GCGGACGAAAUUCGCCCGCGGCCCCCACCAAGGCUAUAGCCCACCCAUUUUUUGGCCAUUUUUCCGCUGGGGGGUUUUGGCACCACGACCUUCGGGCGCGGCUUUGCCCGCGGCUUAUUUUUGGCACCCCGAGGCCCCUCGUAAAGUCUCGCCGCAUUCCGAGUCCGGCGGACGAACGUCGCCCGCGCCCCCCACCAAGGCUAUAGCCCACCCGUUUUUUGGCCAUUUUUCCGCUGGGGGGUUUUGGCACCACGACCUUCGGGCGCGGCUUUGCCCGCGGCUUAUUUUUGGCACCCCGAGGCCCCUCGUAAAGUCUCGCCGCAUUCCGAGUCCGGCGGACGAACGUCGCCCGCGCCCCCCACCAAGGCUAUAGCCCACCCGUUUUUUGGCCAUUUUUCCGCUGGGGGGUUUUGGCACCACGACCUUCGGGCGCUUAUUUUUGGGCGCGGCUUUGCCCGCGGCUUAUUUUUGGCACCCCGAGGCCCCUCGCAAAGUCUCGCCGCAUUCCGAGUCCGGCGGACGAACGUCGCCCGCGCCCCCCACCAAGGCUAUAGCCCACCCGUUUUUUGGCCAUUUUUCCGCUGGGGGGUUUUGGCACCACGACCUUCGGGCGCUUGGUGGGGGGACUUUGCCAUUUUUCUCGCCCCAUUUUUUGGCUUUGCCCGCGGCUUAUUUUUGGCACCCCGAGGCCCCUCGCAAAGUCUCUCCGCAUUCCGAGUCCGGCGGACGAACGUCGCCCGCGCCCCCCACCAAGGCUAUAGCCCACCCGUUUUUUGGCCAUUUUUCCGCUGGGGGGUUUUGGCACCACGACCUUCGGGCGCUUAUGUUUGGGCGCGGCUUUGCCCACGGCUUAUUUUUGGCACCCCGAGGCCCCUCGCAAAGUCUCGCCCCAUUCCGAGUCCGGCGGACGAACUUCGCCCGCGCCCCCCACCAAGGCUAUAGCCCACCCGUUUUUUGGCCAUUUUUCCGCUGGGGGGUUUUGGCACCACGACCUACGGGCGCGGCUUUGCCCGCGGCUUAUUUUUGGCACCCCGAGGCCCCUCGCAAAGUCUCGCCGCAUUCCGAGUCCGGCGGACGAACUUCGCCCGCGCCCCCCACCAAGGCUAUAGCCCACCCGUUUUUUGGCCAUUUUUCCGCUGGGGGGUUUUGGCACCACGACCUUCGGGCGCUUAUUUCUGGGCGCGGCUUUGCCCGCGGCUUAUUUUUGGCACCCCGAGGCCCCUCGCAAAGUCUCGCCGCAUUCCGAGUCCGGCGGACGAACUUCGCCCGCGCCCCCCACCAAGGCUAUAGCCCACCCGUUUUUUGGCCAUUUUUCCGCUAGGGGGUUUUGGCACCACGACCUUCGGGCGCUUAUUUUUGGGCGCGGCUUUGCCCGCUGCUUAUUUUUGGCACCCCGAGGCCCCUCGCAAAGUCUCGCCGCAUUCCGAGUCCGGCGGACGAACGUCGCCCGCGCCCCCCACCAAGGCUAUAGCCCACCCGUUUUUUGGCCAUUUUUCCGCUGGGGGGUUUUGGCACCACGACCUUCGGGCGCUUAUUUUUGGGCUCGGCUUUGCCCGCGGCUUAUUUUUGGCACCCCGAGGCCCCUCGCAAAGUCUCGCCGCAUUCCGAGUCCGGCGGACGAACUUCGCCCGCGCCCCCCACCAAGGCUAUAGCCCACCCGUUUUUUGGCCAUUUUUCCGCUGGGGGGUUUUGGCACCACGACCUUCGGGCGCUUAUUUUUGGGCGCGGCUUUGCCCGCGGCUUAUUUUGGCACCCCGAGGCCCCUCGCAAAGUCUCGCC
RNAcentral lists this long non-coding RNA (1779 nucleotides) under Citrus x clementina. RNAcentral describes it as "Citrus clementina (C. clementina) long non-coding RNA (CCLE_LNC006302)". The record is from RNAcentral. Lineage: Eukaryota; Viridiplantae; Streptophyta; Magnoliopsida; Sapindales; Rutaceae.